GUGGCUUUUAUUGUGAUACUUUUUUUUUUUUUUUUUGAGACAGGGUCAUGCUAUGUAGUGCAGGCCGGCCUUGAAUUCACAGUGAUCUUCCUGCCUCAGCCUCCCUAGUGCUGGGACUACAGGGGUGUCCCACAAACCCAGCUACGUUUUUAAUUUCAACAGUCGUAUUUUUUCCCACCACACCUCGUACGUUGCCGUUUGUUCCGUGAUGAACAUGUACCAGCCACUUGGCUGGUUUGUCACUUCAUGCUGAUGGCUCUGCUGGCCAUUUUGCAGUCUCUGCUUUAGUGAGAAAUAAAACUUUAUUCGGAAACACAGCAGCUGCCUGCUGAAUCUACACGGAGAAAAGUGGGGCCACGCACAGCGCUCAGGGAUCUUAAAGCAGCUUUGAGCAUAAAAGUCAGACACACAGAUGGACGUCAGUUCCACUGACCGAAAGGUCAUUUAAGAGGCUGCCGGCAUCGUCCAACUUCUCCAUACCCCUAUUUCCUACCCUGCCUCCUGAGGAUGGAGGCUUAGAUGGUCAUUCCGGACUCCCGACGCUGCCAGCCCCUCGGUGAACGUGAGCGCCAUUGGCGUCCGUGGCCUCUGUUUCCGUGGCAACCCAGUAACCAUUAAUUUUCAAUUAAAGGAGACAAAAAGCUCAAUGACAGCUCCAGGUCCGCUGAAGAUGUCAAGAAUGUGUAUUAAUAUACAGCACGAGAGCAUAAUUGUGUGUCCAUCUUCCAGAGCAGCGAAAAAUGGAGGGAUAAUUACCAGCUCGAAAGCCACUCUGUAAUUUAGUUCUUACUGUCGCCAAGCCCUGCACAUUAGCAUAAAUUAAAAGCAGAGUUUAUUGUUAU
Molecule: long non-coding RNA, 842 nt
Filed under: Cavia porcellus (domestic guinea pig)
Lineage: Eukaryota; Metazoa; Chordata; Mammalia; Rodentia; Caviidae
Description: lncRNA (ENSCPOG00000034217.1)
Source: RNAcentral